GGGUCUAUAGUUCAACGGAUAGAGCAAUGGUCUUCUAAACCAUCGAUUGAGGUUCGAUUCCUCAUAGACCUA
This 72-nucleotide transfer RNA is filed under the name Caudoviricetes sp. Its description in RNAcentral is "tRNA-Arg". It matches the Rfam family "tRNA". Rfam says of the family: Transfer RNA (tRNA) molecules are approximately 80 nucleotides in length. Their secondary structure includes four short double-helical elements and three loops (D, anti-codon, and T loops). Lineage: Duplodnaviria; Heunggongvirae; Uroviricota; Caudoviricetes. The record is from RNAcentral.